Pseudophryne corroboree (corroboree frog) is the source of this 2077-nucleotide long non-coding RNA. RefSeq lists it as uncharacterized. The transcript is spliced from 2 exons. NCBI's taxonomy places the organism in Eukaryota, Metazoa, Chordata, Amphibia, Anura, Myobatrachidae. The record is from RefSeq and is a predicted model, not a curated record.
CCCAGGGAUUGGCUGCCCGCAGAGCGGUAGUAGGAAGGGGGAGUUGGCGCCGAGAGUGCAGCGGGGACGGAGAGGAGAAGAGCAGCUAUAGCGCUAGAGAGCCCCGCGGUGUGCCCUGACUACCCACGGGGAACGGAGGGGCUAGAGUCCGGCGCAGGAGAGGAGAGCCGCGGGCGGGAGCCGGAGAGACCAGUGUGUAAGCUGCCGCCAGCCGCCCGGAGAGUGACGUCACGCCCGGCCACCGGGCAAAGGGAGACACGCUGCCGCUGGCCGCCCGGGACGCACUGCCCCUUCUGCCGGAGCCAACACUGCCGCUGAAGAGGCAGGACACACGGCGCUGCUGCGGGCUGAAGGAGUGGCGCGCGGUGCGCUACUGAGAAGGGGCAACGCUGCGAGAGCUGGACAGACAGAUGGAGGGGAGAGGAAACAUCCACAACAAGCAGUUCCCUGCAAGUGUUGAAGAGUGGCAAGCCAACUGGGAGGAAUUUGAAAACAGGUGGAAUUUCCCUAAUUGUGGUGGAGCCAUCAAUGGGAAACACAUCCACAUUAACACACAUGUCGACAGCGGAUCGAUGUACUUAAACUACAAGGGGUACUUUAGCAUCAUUCUGAUGGCACUGGUAAAAUCAAACUACGAGUUUCUCUUCGUUGCUGUUGGUAAGAAUGGCCGGCCCGCAGAUGGUGGCUCCAAAAAGACUGCCUUUUAUAAGACACUUAACUCAAACCAGAUGAACUUGGGCCCUCAUUCCGAGUUGUUCGGUCGCAAGGCGAAUUUAGCAGAGUUACACACGCUAAGCCGCCGCCUACUGGGAGUGAAUCUUAGCUUCUUAAAAUUGCGACCGAUGUAUUCACAAUAUUGCGAUUACUAACUACUUAGCAGUUUCAGAGUAGCUCCAGACUUACUAUGCCUGUGCGAUCAUUUCAGUGCUUGUCGUUCCUGGUUGACGUCACAAACACACCCAGCGUUCGCCCAGGCACUCCCACCGUUUCCCCGGCCACUCCUGCGUUUUUUCCGGAAACGGUAGCGUUUUCAGCCACACGCCCCUGAAACGCCGUGUUUCCGCCCAGUAACACCCAUUUCCUGUCAAUCACAUUACGUUCGCCGGAGCGAAGAAAAAGCCGUGAGUAAAAAUACUUUCUUCAUAGUAAAGUUACUUGGCGCAGUCGCAGUGCGAACAUUGCGCAUGCGUACUAAGCGGAUUUUCACUGCGAUGCGAUGAAAAAUACCGAGCGAACAACUCGGAAUGAGGGCCUUGGCUUCUAGAGGAGGAACAACACAUGGCCUCAAUUUUCAGAACACUCAAACAAGCCAGUAUAGGACAAUGGUCACAGCAGCAGCACUGGAAGAGGAAGAGGAGGAUUCACCUAUGUCUUCCCUGCAAGCACCUUCUCUCCUCUCCAAGGGGACUGCUCGUGCAAACCAGGUGAGAGAGAAGUACCUGGCCUAUUUUAAUGGCAUAGGCGCAGGCAGGAGACCGCAAUAAAGUCACGUGCGUGGUGUGUGGUGGAUUGGGGGCAAUUAAAGUGUCAAUGACUAAAUACGGACUGCAAAGCUUCACCCGUUUCACUCUCCGCUGCGUCUGGCCAUGGGAUGGAGGAGAAUCCACUCCUUGUUGGGUUUGCCUCAUCGAGGAAGGACAACUGGCUGUAAUACCAUAAUGUAGGCGUAUAGAUUUGGUCAGUGCCUGCCUCGGACCGCUUCAAAUCUCUUGCUUUUUCUGUUCUUUUUGUAGACUGAGCGGAGGUUGUGCCAUCGUUAUUUAACCCACUCCAAAUCAGCUGCCGUAAGAAUGGCUUGCUAAAUUCCACCAGCUCCUCAUUGACGGAAAGGCGUUUGGCCUUAUUGGAGUAGUCCUUCGACUUAACUUUCCAUAAGCAUUCCUUGGAUUAUACCAGCUCAAUGAAGCCAGUGAUGAAAUCCACAUUUUUGUCAAGAGACAUAUCUGCAAAAAAGGAGCCAGGCAGAAAAAAAAAUCUGUUUUAUUACUUUGUUAUGUAGAAAGUUUGUUGUUUAUGGUUAAUGUUGUUAAAAUUGUAAAAAAGAAAGUUUGGAUGGAAAUAAAUGUGUCAUUAAUUA